CCUCCCUGGCGAUGGGCAAAAAGACACUCUGUUGGUGGUGGUGUUCCUAUGUCAGUCAGGGGCAGAGCAGUCGGCAGUCCUUUGUUCAUCGUAGCUUGAUACCUACCUUAGUGCCCAAAACUGUUGUAUGCCUAGAACAUAUAA
This is a small nucleolar RNA of Rattus norvegicus (Norway rat), 144 nucleotides long. Ensembl annotates it as small nucleolar RNA SNORA48. The record is from Ensembl. Lineage: Eukaryota; Metazoa; Chordata; Mammalia; Rodentia; Muridae.